Hemibagrus wyckioides is the source of this 1843-nucleotide long non-coding RNA. RefSeq lists it as uncharacterized. The record is from RefSeq and is a predicted model, not a curated record. Lineage: Eukaryota; Metazoa; Chordata; Actinopteri; Siluriformes; Bagridae. The transcript is spliced from 3 exons.
CUGUUAGCCUGUUGUGUGUGCUGUAGCUCCCUUGGUUUGUGAGCAGAUAAGUUCUCUUUCACCGUCGAGACGGACUACCCGACUAGUGAAUGUAGGUAAAGCAGGUUUCUGAGCAGCGAUGUGACUGCAAGCCAAGCAGAGAAAAAACAACAGAGUGUAGAGAACGCACAGUUCACACCAAACUCUGACAGAAUGUUAUGGGUUUAUUUGGAAACACAGAGAAAUCACCAUCCUUUAUACAUCUUGAUCCUCUGCUGCUGCUCGAGCUUCGUGAUGACGUCAUAUUCAACCCCUCCUCUGUGUACACCUGAGUUAAUGAGCGGAUGAUGCCAGUGGUCAAAGUAGUGGUACCAUCGUCCAUUCGAACUGGCCCCGAAUCCAAAUACAUUCACCUGCGAUAGAGAGAGAGAGAGCUGAAGAGUGAAGACUGCAAACAUGUUUGAUUUAAAUGCUAACUAGUGCAUGCUUGUUUUCCUGGUUGGAAUAUACCGGUCUUAGACGUAGAGAGAUUCUUUUCCAACAUAAGUUUGGGUUAUGAUUUAUUGUUUUUACCCACUGAUUAUUAUUCUUUUUUUCUUGGUAAACAGAUUAAUUUGUUAGAUGGCAUAAGAAGUGGCUCAUUUCUACAGAAUCUGAUUGUUUGGAAUUCUGGGACUGGAAUCACGUCCAACCAGUGUUCCCGAAAUGUUCCCUGAGCAGGAUAAAACCGACACUGAAGAGGUAAACAGUCUAAAGGCCGAGCUAGCUAAAGGAUGGGGAUAAUACGCUAAAAUAUUCAAACUUUUUUACACUUUCAGAUGUUCUCCUUGUAGAAGAACUCUUAAAGAUUUCACCUGGAACUCUACUGUAAUGAGUUUUCCCAUCAAAAAGCUUAGAAUUAAGAACACAAUUAGUCUUUAACCUCUUAAAGAAGUUUUAUCUAAGACCAUUACUUAAGAUUUGAACUCUUAUGUUCAUAAUUCUAUGUAGAACUUCUAUCUUUCCAUGUCAGUUGAUUGAAUUUCUUGGUGUUCAGACUGAGAAUGUUCAUGGAUUUGCUGCAGAAUGUAUUACGCAACCCAAGCAACGGCAGAACUCCACCAUAAGGAGGUCAUUUUACUUUGAAUAAUAAUGAUCAGUGUUUUCACCUCGUCACAGAUGUGCAGGGCCAGCAUGAGCAUGAUGAAGCCAGUGGAUGGAUAUUUCCCUUCUUUCAUCAGCCACUUUUCGUAGACGUAUCUCAUGAACUCAGGAUUAACGAUCAUCACCUUUAAAAACAACACGGGAGAGCCCUUUAAUCUGGAUCGAUCCGAUAGAAAGGAAAAUAUAUUUCUAUAGCAUCAGCUCAUGGUUCUAUAUUGUAAGAAGGAUGCUUGGCGUAAUUGGAUUAUAAAAUAUUUGUGUAAUUAUUGAUAUAGUGAAAAUUUCUGUCUUGGUGGAGAAGCUAGCAGGUGACCCUCCGAAUAUCAGAGUAAAGUGAUGUUCCUCAAACCUUCAUGAGGAGAGAGAUCAUUAAACCCACCUUGUUUCUGUUCGCUUUUACUGUAGGUUUCACCGUACGAUAUGUUCUGAAAACAGAAAUGAAAAUAAAACAUAAGACUAACUUAUUUAGACAUUUUGGUUUAUAAGAAAACAUUAUUCCUGUCCAUCUAGCUUCAGAUGGUCCACGUGUAGCUCUCACCGUGUAAUGUUCUGCUUGGUGAAAGCACUAAUGAGCCACUGCAGAUCCAGCACUUUAAAAGGCAUCAGCACUAGAUGGGUGGAGUUAUCCAGGUCUACAGCGCUCUCUGGAUACAUCGCUCUGUGCGUGGUCUUUACUCCAACAUCCCUCUCGUAGCCUUUAGUUGGGCCGUGGUUCAUCCUG